GGUCUCCUGCUUGGGCUUCAUUUGAUCCUGCUUCUCUUCCUGAGGACUGCCUCCCUGUUCACCAUGGCCACCCUAUGUUAUCUGGGCUGACUACAGUCUUCUCCAAAGCUGAGCUUGGAGCUUUGAGCUGAUGAGCCUUUUCCUAGCUCAGAGGAGGGCAAUAGCAAACCACCUGAUAUCUGAAGACAUGAGGAUCCAGUGGAAAAGAAAAAAGCAGACCACAAAUAGACGAGCUCACACAGCCCCAGUACCCAAGGGCCCUUUUCAGGAUUCUCCUCCCAUACAAGCACAAUGCAGUGAUUAAGAAAUGGCAUCAACACUGAAGCAUCUUCUUCCCUGCUCACAGUACCUUUAUAGCUUACCCACUCCUUCUCCCCAGCCUCAAUAGCCAGAGGGAACUACUGCCAACUGGGUAGUGUGUAAAAGGCAUCCUCCACGUGAUGCCAGACUCCCACCCCAAGAGAUCCUCAGUUUACAACUCAAUGUCUGAGGAAAACUCUCAGAAUUGUCAGAAUAAAUAAAAAAUGAGCUGACUAAUUUCAAA
Molecule: long non-coding RNA, 544 nt
Organism: Pogoniulus pusillus (Red-fronted tinkerbird)
Lineage: Eukaryota; Metazoa; Chordata; Aves; Piciformes; Lybiidae
Exons: 3
Source: RefSeq, a predicted model, not a curated record